CCAAGGUCACAUGGCUGCCCCAGGACACAUGGCUGCCCCAGGUCACAUGACUGCCCAGGUCACACGGCUGCCCCAGGUCAUGUGGCUGCCCAGGUCACACGGCUGCCCCAGGUCACACGACUGCCCAAGGUCACAUGGCUGCCCCAGGUCACACGGCUGCCCCAGGUCACGCAACCAGUAGAUGCAAAACAGGGUUUGAGCCUGGGCUGCCACUGGUGUGU
Oryctolagus cuniculus (rabbit) is the source of this 221-nucleotide non-coding RNA. The record is from RefSeq and is a predicted model, not a curated record. Lineage: Eukaryota; Metazoa; Chordata; Mammalia; Lagomorpha; Leporidae.